Molecule: ribosomal RNA, 441 nt
Filed under: uncultured bacterium
Lineage: Bacteria
Description: partial 16S ribosomal RNA
Rfam family: Bacterial small subunit ribosomal RNA
Source: RNAcentral
CCUACGGGAGGCAGCAGUCGGGAAUAUUGCGCAAUGGAGGAAACUCUGACGCAGUGACGCCGCGUGCAGGAAGAAGGUUUUCGGAUUGUAAACUGCUUUAGACAGGGAAGAAAAAAGACAGUACCUGUAGACUAAGCUCCGGCUAACUACGUGCCAGCAGCCGCGGUAAUACGUAGGGAGCAAGCGUUAAUCGGAAUUACUGGGCGUAAAGCGCUCGUAGGCGGUAUGUCAAGUCAAGGGUGAAAUCCCCGCGCUCAACGUGGGAACUGCCUUUGAAACUGGCAAACUGGAGUGUGUGAGAGGAUAGUGGAAUUCCAGGUGUAGGAGUGAAAUCCGUAGAUAUCUGGAGGAACAUCAGUGGCGAAGGCGGCUUACUGGACUGUAACUGACGUUGAGGCUCGAAAGCGUGGGGAGCAAACAGGAUUAGAUACCCGUGUAGUC